This 950-nucleotide small RNA is filed under the name Pongo abelii (Sumatran orangutan). RNAcentral describes it as "processed transcript". The record is from RNAcentral. Lineage: Eukaryota; Metazoa; Chordata; Mammalia; Primates; Hominidae.
AACUACAGAAGUCUCACCAACUUCUCAGAAAACCACCACAAAAACCACCACACCAAAUGCUCAAGCAACACGGAGUACACCUGUUUCCAGAACAACCAAGCAUUUUCAUGAAACAACCCCAAAUAAAGGAAGUGGAACCACUUCAGGUACUACCAGUCUUCUAUCUGUAAUUUUCAGCUGCUAGAGUCCGCAUAUGUAGAAAGAGUAGAUGAUUGAAUUCAUCCAGGUUUGGAGCAUAUGUAUGCUAGAGAGAAAUUGAGACAACGAAUACAAGCAAAUUUGCAAGAGUGAUUAUGAUGUACUACACCAUCAAAACUGAGAAAGAAGAGUGUGUAAAAGGGACUAAUGGAUGGUUAUCAUAUCUUCCUUUACGUUAAUUUAUCAGACUUAGCCUCUUCUUCUGCUGGUAGUAUUAAUCUCAAGGACAAAGUCAAAAGUAUUUAUAAUGAUUCAAAGAGGUGCUCAUACAGCUAUUGAGAAUUUUUUUUUAUUUCUUCCUAGCAUUUAGAAAUAUUCUACGUUAAAUGGUAAGAUAAAUAAAAGAAGAAAUGAAAAAGGAGACAUUACAACCAAUACCACAAAAAUUCAAAAGAUCAUUAGAAGGCAUUAUGAGCAACUGUAUGCAAAUGAAUUAGAAAACCUGGAAGAAAUGGAUAAGUUCCUAGACAUAUAUACCUACUGAGAUUGAAUUAUGAAGAGACAGACCACCUAAAUAGGCCAAUAACAAGUAAUAAGAUAGACACAGUAAUAAAAAGUGUUCCAUCAAAGAAAAUCCCAGGACCUUAUGACUUUCCUGCUAAAUUCCACUAAACAUUUCAAGAAGAACUAAUAUCAAUCCUACUCAAAUUAUUUCAAAAAAUUACAGAGAAGAAAAUACAUCCAAAUUCAUUUUAUAAGGCCAGCAUUACCCAGAUAUCAAAAACAGACAAAGAUACACAACAAUGAAAAAA